This 147-nucleotide unclassified non-coding RNA is filed under the name uncultured Geminibasidium. RNAcentral's name for it is "sequence contains ITS1". The record is from RNAcentral. Lineage: Eukaryota; Fungi; Basidiomycota; Geminibasidiomycetes; Geminibasidiales; Geminibasidiaceae.
UUGAAUAACUUGGUGCUGAUGCUGGCCUUCUGAAGCGGAGAGUUAUUAGGCAUUGGCCGAGCGCCUCCCUUCGGUUAUUAUAUCAACCUCAAACUGCGUUUACUAGAAUGUCUACCGUCUUGUUGUAACGACAAGUACAAUCCAAUA